AAUAGUUUUUUAAUUAAAAACUUGAAUGAAAGAGCUGACGAGAUAAAAAUUGUUUCAAUAUUAAUAAUUGAAUUUAAAUUUUAAGUUAAAAUGCUUAAAUAUUUUUAUAAGACGAGAAGACCCUAUAGAAUUUAAUAAAAUUUUAGUAUAAUGAUUUUUUUAUAAUUAAAAUAUUUAUAUUAAAUUAUAUUUAGUUGGGAGGAUUAUAAAAUUAAAAAAACUUUUAUUUUUUAAUAACAUAGAUAAAUGAAUAGUUGAUUAUUAUUAUAAUUAAAAGAAAAAAUUACCUUAGGGAUAACAGCGUAAUAUUUUUGGAGAGAUCAAAUUGAUAAAAUUGUUUGCGACCUCGAUGUUGAAUUAUGAUAUAAUUUAAAUGUAGGAGUUUAAAUUGUUAGUCUGUUCGACUAUUAAAAUCAUACGUGAUCUGAGUUCA
Molecule: ribosomal RNA, 433 nt
Filed under: Eumeninae sp. BOLD:ACO1947
Lineage: Eukaryota; Metazoa; Arthropoda; Insecta; Hymenoptera; Vespidae
Description: partial 16S ribosomal RNA
Rfam family: Bacterial large subunit ribosomal RNA (bases 294-433)
Source: RNAcentral